GAUGAACGCUGGCGGCGUGCCUAAUACAUGCCAGUCGAGCGAACGGACGAGGAGCUUGCUCCUCUGACGUUAGCGGCGGACGGGUGAGUAACACGUGGAUAACCUACCUAUAAGACUGGGAUAACUUCGGGAAACCGGAGCUAAUACCGGAUAAUAUAUUGAACCGCAUGGUUCAAUAGUGAAAGACGGUUUUGCUGUCACUUAUAGAUGGAUCCGCGCCGCAUUAGCUAGUUGGUAAGGUAACGGCUUACCAAGGCAACGAUGCGUAGCCGACCUGAGAGGGUGAUCGGCCACACUGGAACUGAGACACGGUCCAGACUCCUACGGGAGGCAGCAGUAGGGAAUCUUCCGCAAUGGGCGAAAGCCUGACGGAGCAACGCCGCGUGAGUGAUGAAGGUCUUCGGAUCGUAAAACUCUGUUAUUAGGGAAGAACAAAUGUGUAAGUAACUAUGCACAUCUUGACGGUACCUAAUCAGAAAGCCACGGCUAACUACGUG
Molecule: ribosomal RNA, 497 nt
Filed under: uncultured bacterium
Lineage: Bacteria
Description: partial 16S ribosomal RNA
Rfam family: Bacterial small subunit ribosomal RNA
Source: RNAcentral